ACUUGCACUGGCUGGACGCUAGCUUCGCCCUCGCCCUCCAGUGUGGACACUGAUGCUUCCGCAGCCUUUGUUUUUAGUUGCUUUGUCUUGUUGCUAGCCGCCCACAGGCCCGAUGUGGGUGGGAGUGGGGUGACAGCGGGGCUGGAAGCUGAGGAUUUAGCUAGAGACCCAGCCCAGAGCCCCCGCGGGCCUUGCAGAUUCUCUGCCUUCUCGACAAUCUACCAACAAAGGAAGGAAAGAGGAGAAAUGCCUAUUAGACUCUGUACCCUGGGUUCACCCACCUCUCCCAUCCGGGUGCCUAUUGUGCAAAGGAAGGGAAAGGGCCAGUUAAUCCUAGAACCUAAGGACUAGGUUCAGAGGUCUUGGGUGUGGUUGUUUUUCCCUCGUCGAGAUAAACACGGAAGGAGCAGAGCUGCUCGGAUUGCCUUGUCAUUCGGAGUCACGAGGGUGGCCAUGAAAAUAACCUUGAAAACAGCUUCGUUUGCACAGGCUACCGACUUCCGUACUGUACAGUCUAGAAAUGUUAGCAAAUUACAUAAAUUUCACUUCAAAAAGGUUUACGACUUUUAUCAUAGAACUGAAGGAAACCUUAGGAACAUAUCUGGUUUGCCUAGCAUGAACCAAAAGCCCCAAUUUGAUUCCCCAGCCCAAAGUCUGCUUUUUUAGAAUAAGAAGCAGGUAGAAUUUUAUUUGAAGUGAAUUGAAAUUUAGAAAAUAUCUACUUUGGAUAGUAUUUUAUUUUUAUUGGGCUGCAUGAGUUGGACCUUGUUUCAACAAGCAG
This 781-nucleotide long non-coding RNA is filed under the name Rattus norvegicus (Norway rat). Its description in RNAcentral is "long non-coding RNA NONRATT005522". The record is from RNAcentral. Lineage: Eukaryota; Metazoa; Chordata; Mammalia; Rodentia; Muridae.